RNAcentral lists this ribosomal RNA (492 nucleotides) under uncultured bacterium. Its description in RNAcentral is "partial 16S ribosomal RNA". It matches the Rfam family "Bacterial small subunit ribosomal RNA", at positions 28 to 507 of the family's 1533-position model. The record is from RNAcentral.
GAUGAACGCUAGCUACAGGCUUAACACAUGCAAGUCGAGGGGAAACGGCAUCGAAAGCUUGCUUUUGAUGGGCGUCGACCGGCGCACGGGUGAGUAACGCGUAUCCAACCUGCCCAUCACUUGGGAAUAACCUUGCGAAAGUAAGACUAAUACCCAAUGACAUCCCACGAAGACAUCUGAAUGGGAUUAAAGAUUUAUCGGUGAUGGAUGGGGUUGCGUCUGAUUAGCUUGUUGGCGGGGUAACGGCCCACCAAGGCAACGAUCAGUAGGGGUUCUGAGAGGAAGGUCCCCCACAUUGGAACUGCGACACGGUCCAAACUCCUACGGGAGGCAGCAGUGAGGAAUAUUGGUCAAUGGGCGAGAGCCUGAACCAGCCAAGUAGCGUGCAGGAUGACGGCCCUAUGGGUUGUAAACUGCUUUUAUAAGGGAAUAAAGUGGGUCUCGUGAGACUUUUUGCAUGUACCUUAUGAAUAAGGACCGGCUAAUUCCGUG